RNAcentral lists this ribosomal RNA (2903 nucleotides) under Klebsiella sp. WP8-S18-ESBL-06. Its description in RNAcentral is "23S ribosomal RNA". It matches the Rfam family "Bacterial large subunit ribosomal RNA". Lineage: Bacteria; Pseudomonadati; Pseudomonadota; Gammaproteobacteria; Enterobacterales; Enterobacteriaceae. The record is from RNAcentral.
UUAAGCGACUAAGCGUACACGGUGGAUGCCCUGGCAGUCAGAGGCGAUGAAGGACGUGCUAAUCUGCGAUAAGCGUCGGUAAGGUGAUAUGAACCGUUAUAACCGGCGAUUUCCGAAUGGGGAAACCCAGUGUGAUUCGUCACACUAUCAUUACGUGAAUACAUAGCGUAAUGAAGCGAACCGGGGGAACUGAAACAUCUAAGUACCCCGAGGAAAAGAAAUCAACCGAGAUUCCCCCAGUAGCGGCGAGCGAACGGGGAACAGCCCAGAGUCUGAAUCAGCUUGUGUGUUAGUGGAACGGUCUGGAAAGUCCGACGGUACAGGGUGAUAGUCCCGUACACCAAAAUGCACAGGUUGUGAACUCGAAGAGUAGGGCGGGACACGUGGUAUCCUGUCUGAAUAUGGGGGGACCAUCCUCCAAGGCUAAAUACUCCUGACUGACCGAUAGUGAACCAGUACCGUGAGGGAAAGGCGAAAAGAACCCCGGCGAGGGGAGUGAAAAAGAACCUGAAACCGUGUACGUACAAGCAGUGGGAGCCUCUUUAUGGGGUGACUGCGUACCUUUUGUAUAAUGGGUCAGCGACUUAUAUUCUGUAGCAAGGUUAACCGAAUAGGGGAGCCGAAGGGAAACCGAGUCUUAACUGGGCGUUAAGUUGCAGGGUAUAGACCCGAAACCCGGUGAUCUAGCCAUGGGCAGGUUGAAGGUUGGGUAACACUAACUGGAGGACCGAACCGACUAAUGUUGAAAAAUUAGCGGAUGACUUGUGGCUGGGGGUGAAAGGCCAAUCAAACCGGGAGAUAGCUGGUUCUCCCCGAAAGCUAUUUAGGUAGCGCCUCGUGAAUUCAUCUUCGGGGGUAGAGCACUGUUUCGGCUAGGGGGUCAUCCCGACUUACCAACCCGAUGCAAACUGCGAAUACCGAAGAAUGUUAUCACGGGAGACACACGGCGGGUGCUAACGUCCGUCGUGAAGAGGGAAACAACCCAGACCGCCAGCUAAGGUCCCAAAGUCACAGUUAAGUGGGAAACGAUGUGGGAAGGCUCAGACAGCCAGGAUGUUGGCUUAGAAGCAGCCAUCAUUUAAAGAAAGCGUAAUAGCUCACUGGUCGAGUCGGCCUGCGCGGAAGAUGUAACGGGGCUAAACUGUGCACCGAAGCUGCGGCAGCGACACUAUGUGUUGUUGGGUAGGGGAGCGUUCUGUAAGCCGUUGAAGGUGUCCUGUGAGGGGUGCUGGAGGUAUCAGAAGUGCGAAUGCUGACAUAAGUAACGAUAAUGCGGGUGAAAAACCCGCACGCCGGAAGACCAAGGGUUCCUGUCCAACGUUAAUCGGGGCAGGGUGAGUCGACCCCUAAGGCGAGGCCGAAAGGCGUAGUCGAUGGGAAACAGGUUAAUAUUCCUGUACUUGGUGUUACUGCGAAGGGGGGACGGAGAAGGCUAUGUUAGCCGGGCGACGGUUGUCCCGGUUUAAGCAUGUAGGCGGAGAGUUUAGGUAAAUCCGGACUCUUUUAACGCUGAGGUGUGAUGACGAGGCACUACGGUGCUGAAGUAACAAAUGCCCUGCUUCCAGGAAAAGCCUCUAAGCAUCAGGUAACAUCAAAUCGUACCCCAAACCGACACAGGUGGUCAGGUAGAGAAUACCAAGGCGCUUGAGAGAACUCGGGUGAAGGAACUAGGCAAAAUGGUGCCGUAACUUCGGGAGAAGGCACGCUGAUAUGUAGGUGAAGUGGUUUACCCAUGGAGCUGAAAUCAGUCGAAGAUACCAGCUGGCUGCAACUGUUUAUUAAAAACACAGCACUGUGCAAACACGAAAGUGGACGUAUACGGUGUGACGCCUGCCCGGUGCCGGAAGGUUAAUUGAUGGGGUUAGCGGCAACGCGAAGCUCUUGAUCGAAGCCCCGGUAAACGGCGGCCGUAACUAUAACGGUCCUAAGGUAGCGAAAUUCCUUGUCGGGUAAGUUCCGACCUGCACGAAUGGCGUAAUGAUGGCCAGGCUGUCUCCACCCGAGACUCAGUGAAAUUGAACUCGCUGUGAAGAUGCAGUGUACCCGCGGCAAGACGGAAAGACCCCGUGAACCUUUACUAUAGCUUGACACUGAACACUGGUCCUUGAUGUGUAGGAUAGGUGGGAGGCUUUGAAGCGCGGACGCCAGUUCGUGUGGAGCCAACCUUGAAAUACCACCCUUUAAUGGCUGGUGUUCUAACGUAGACCCGUAAUCCGGGUUGCGGACAGUGUCUGGUGGGUAGUUUGACUGGGGCGGUCUCCUCCUAAAGAGUAACGGAGGAGCACGAAGGUUAGCUAAUCCUGGUCGGACAUCAGGAGGUUAGUGCAAAGGCAUAAGCUAGCUUGACUGCGAGAGUGACGGCUCGAGCAGGUGCGAAAGCAGGUCUUAGUGAUCCGGUGGUUCUGAAUGGAAGGGCCAUCGCUCAACGGAUAAAAGGUACUCCGGGGAUAACAGGCUGAUACCGCCCAAGAGUUCAUAUCGACGGCGGUGUUUGGCACCUCGAUGUCGGCUCAUCACAUCCUGGGGCUGAAGUAGGUCCCAAGGGUAUGGCUGUUCGCCAUUUAAAGUGGUACGCGAGCUGGGUUUAGAACGUCGUGAGACAGUUCGGUCCCUAUCUGCCGUGGGCGCUGGAGAAUUGAGGGGGGCUGCUCCUAGUACGAGAGGACCGGAGUGGACGCAUCACUGGUGUUCGGGUUGUCAUGCCAAUGGCAUUGCCCGGUAGCUAAAUGCGGAAGAGAUAAGUGCUGAAAGCAUCUAAGCACGAAACUUGCCCCGAGAUGAGUUCUCCCUGACUCCUUGAGAGUCCUGAAGGAACGUUGAAGACGACGACGUUGAUAGGUCGGGUGUGUAAGUGUAGCGAUACAUUGAGCUAACCGAUACUAAUGAACCGUGAGGCUUAACCU